CGAAGUGNAAGUGUGAACACCCUCGAACGUGGCAGCGCGACGAGCGAAAGUAUGCUGCUACUUUGCCGGCGAGCGGCGGACGGGUGAGUAAUGUCUGGGAAACUGCCUGAUGGAGGGGGAUAACUACUGGAAACGGUAGCUAAUACCGCAUAACGUCGCAAGACCAAAGAGGGGGACCUUCGGGCCUCUUGCCAUCAGAUGUGCCCAGAUGGGAUUAGCUAGUAGGUGGGGUAACUGGCUCACCUAGGCGACGAUCCCUAGCUGGUCUGAGAGGAUGACCAGCCACACUGGAAGCUGAGACAGCGGUCCAGACUCCUACGGGAGGCAGCAGUGGGG
This 336-nucleotide ribosomal RNA is filed under the name ginger rhizome-associated bacterium kn4. Its description in RNAcentral is "bacterial SSU rRNA". The stretch from base 35 to 329 matches the Rfam family "Bacterial small subunit ribosomal RNA", at positions 57 to 352 of the family's 1533-position model. The record is from RNAcentral.